AUACGUCUUCGGGGCAGGGUGAAAUUCCCGACCGGCGGUAUAGUCCGCGACCUUGGGCUGUCAGGCAUCGUCUUGGCCCAGGUUGAACUGGUGUGAUUCCAGUACCGACAGUAAAGUCUGGAUGGUAGAAGCGGAUA
RNAcentral lists this non-coding RNA (137 nucleotides) under Facklamia languida. Its description in RNAcentral is "FMN sequence". It matches the Rfam family "FMN riboswitch aptamer (RFN element)". From Rfam's summary of the family: The RFN element is a highly conserved domain that is found frequently in the 5'-untranslated regions of prokaryotic mRNAs that encode for flavin mononucleotide (FMN) biosynthesis and transport proteins. This element is a metabolite-dependent riboswitch that directly binds FMN in the absence of proteins. The record is from RNAcentral. Lineage: Bacteria; Bacillati; Bacillota; Bacilli; Lactobacillales; Aerococcaceae. RNAcentral also lists the same sequence under 1 other name.